CUCCAGAGGGAUGCACUUUCUU
RNAcentral lists this microRNA (22 nucleotides) under Macaca mulatta (Rhesus monkey). RNAcentral describes it as "Mml-Mir-430-P20_5p (mature (co-guide))". The record is from RNAcentral. Lineage: Eukaryota; Metazoa; Chordata; Mammalia; Primates; Cercopithecidae.